UAGGGAAUCUUCGGCAAUGGGGGCAACCCUGACCGAGCAACGCCGCGUGAGUGAAGAAGGUUUUCGGAUCGUAAAGCUCUGUUGUAAGAGAAGAACGUGUGUGAGAGUGGAAAGUUCACACAGUGACGGUAACUUACCAGAAAGGGACGGCUAACUACGNGCAG
RNAcentral lists this ribosomal RNA (164 nucleotides) under uncultured bacterium. RNAcentral's name for it is "partial 16S rRNA". It matches the Rfam family "Bacterial small subunit ribosomal RNA", at positions 355 to 510 of the family's 1533-position model. The record is from RNAcentral.